Molecule: ribosomal RNA, 497 nt
Filed under: uncultured bacterium
Lineage: Bacteria
Description: partial 16S ribosomal RNA
Rfam family: Bacterial small subunit ribosomal RNA
Source: RNAcentral
GAUGAACGCUGGCGGCGUGCCUAAUACAUGCAAGUCGAGCGAACGGACGAGAAGCUUGCUUCUCUGAUGUUAGCGGCGGACGGGUGAGUAACACGUGGAUAACCUACCUAUAAGACUGGGAUAACUUCGGGAAACCGGAGCUAAUACCGGAUAAUAUUUUGAACGGCUGGGUUCAAAAGGGAAAGACGGCUUUGCGGUCACUUUUAGAGGGAUCCGCGCUGCAUUGGUUGGUUGGUAAGGUAACGGCUUACCAAGGCAACGAUGCAUAGCCGACCUGAGAGGGUGGUCGGCCACACUGGAACUGAGACACGGUCCAGACUCCUACGGGAGGCAGCAGUAGGGAAUCUUCCGCAAUGGGCGAAAGCCUGACGGAGCAACGCCGCGUGAGUGAUGAAGGUCUUCGGAUCGUAAAACUCUGUUAUUAGGGAAGAACAUAUGUGUAAGUAACUGUGCACAUCUUGACGGUACCUAAUCAGAAAGCCACGGCUAACUACGUG